This 593-nucleotide unclassified non-coding RNA is filed under the name Hevea brasiliensis (rubber tree). The record is from RNAcentral. Lineage: Eukaryota; Viridiplantae; Streptophyta; Magnoliopsida; Malpighiales; Euphorbiaceae.
GAAAAAUCAUCAUGAUGCAGAAGAAACUUUGCUCCAGGAAGGAAGAGUUACCAACGCAUUGGAACUUAAUCCAACCGAAAUUCAAUCCAAGCCAGAAACUUCUUAUCAAAGAUACAGCAGCCAAUCUAGCUCCUCAUCGUUGGCAGAAGUGAGUGAAAGGGUCUUUAUUGAUAAAGAAGGAGAAAUGAGAUCAAGUUUCGAGGAGAUAAUGGGGCAUAUUGAAGAAAAUGGGAUCUCCAGGCAAGCUUCGUUUGAUGGACCUGAUUUCCACAUCACAAGCACUUCAGUAGAUCAUACUCCACGCGAACACCCUAUUUAUGAUUCUAGUCCUUCUGCUAUCAGGGAAAACAUAUUUUCAGCCUCCUUUUCUUCAGAUCAGCAUGUGGAAUCUGAGACAGUGUUUCCUCCUACAUUGGUUGAGGAAAGCACUAUUUCAUUCGUAGAGAGGGAAUCUGAGGAAAAUAGUCAGGAUAUUGAAAAAAAUUCCCUUCCAACUAAUGAAGAGAUUUUGGCACCAGCAGAUGACCAAGAAUUUCUGUCAAGGGAGGUGGUAUGCCAAAAUGAGCUUGGUGUUGCAAAGGCGGAUAUUUCUG